UACGUAGGGGGCAAGCGUUAUCCGGAUUUACUGGGUGUAAAGGGAGUGUAGACGGCUGUGCAAGUCUGAAGUGAAAGGCAUGGGCUCAACCUAUGGACUGCUUUGGAAACUGUGCAGCUAGAGUGUCGGAGAGGUAAGUGGAAUUCCUAGUGUAGCGGUGAAAUGCGUAGAUAUUAGGAGGAACACCAGUGGCGAAGGCGGCUUACUGGACGAUGACUGACGUUGAGGCUCGAAAGCGUGGGGAGCAAACAGG
Molecule: ribosomal RNA, 253 nt
Filed under: Dorea formicigenerans
Lineage: Bacteria; Bacillati; Bacillota; Clostridia; Lachnospirales; Lachnospiraceae
Description: partial 16S ribosomal RNA
Rfam family: Bacterial small subunit ribosomal RNA
Source: RNAcentral